GGUUUGUGGCUCAGUGGUUAGAAGCUUGCCUAGCACGUAUGAGGCACUGGGUUCGAUCCCCAGGACCA
RNAcentral lists this transfer RNA (68 nucleotides) under Marmota monax (woodchuck). RNAcentral's name for it is "tRNA.Ala". The record is from RNAcentral. Lineage: Eukaryota; Metazoa; Chordata; Mammalia; Rodentia; Sciuridae.